AUAUGUUAAGUGGAAAAGGAUGUGGGGUUGCACAGACAACUAGGAUGUUAGCUUAGAAGCAGCUAUUCAUUCAAAGAGUGCGUAAUAGCUCACUAGUCGAGUGACCCUGCGCCGAAAAUGUACCGGGGCUAAAACAUAUUACCGAAGCUGUGGAUGACACGUUAGUGUCAUGGUAGGAGAGCGUUCUAUGUGUGAAGAAGGUGUACCGUGAGGAGCGCUGGAACGCAUAGAAGUGAGAAUGCCGGUAUGAGUAGCGAAAGACAGGUGAGAAUCCUGUCCACCGUAAGACUAAGGUUUCCAGGGGAAGGCUCGUCCGCCCUGGGUUAGUCGGGACCUAAGGAGAGACCGAAAGGUGUAUCCGAUGGCCAACAGGUUGAUAUUCCUGUACUAGAGUAUAAAGUGAUGGAGGGACGCAGUAGGCUAACUAAAGCAGGCGAUUGGAAGAGCCUGUCUAAUCAGUGAGGUGUAAGAUGAGUCAAAUGCUUAUCUUUAUAACAUUGAGCUGUGAUGGGGAGCGAAGUUAAGUAGCGAAGUUAGUGAUGUCACACUGCCAAGAAAAGCUUCUAGCGUUUAAUUAUACUCUACCCGUACCGCAAACCGACACAGGUAGUCGAGGCGAGUAGCCUCAGGUGAUCGAGAGAACUCUCGUUAAGGAACUCGGCAAAAUGACCCCGUAACUUCGGGAGAAGGGGUGCUGACUUACGUCAGCCGCAGUGAAUAGGCCCAAGCAACUGUUUAUCAAAAACACAGCUCUCUGCUAAAUCGUAAGAUGAUGUAUAGGGGGUGACGCCUGCCCGGUGCUGGAAGGUUAAGAGGAGGGUUUAGCGUAAGCGAAGAUCUGAAUUGAAGCCCCAGUAAACGGCGGCCGUAACUAUAACGGUCCUAAGGUAGCGAAAUUCCUUGUCGGGUAAGUUCCGACCCGCACGAAAGGCGUAAUGAUUUGGGCACUGUCUCAACGAGAGACUCGGUGAAAUUUUAGUACCUGUGAAGAUGCAGG
RNAcentral lists this ribosomal RNA (997 nucleotides) under Streptococcus dysgalactiae subsp. equisimilis. RNAcentral's name for it is "bacterial LSU rRNA". It matches the Rfam family "Bacterial large subunit ribosomal RNA", at positions 1054 to 2065 of the family's 2925-position model. The record is from RNAcentral. Lineage: Bacteria; Bacillati; Bacillota; Bacilli; Lactobacillales; Streptococcaceae.